GACGAACGCUGGCGGCGUGCUUAACACAUGCAAGUCGAACGGAAAGGCCCUGCUUUUGUGGGGUGCUCGAGUGGCGAACGGGUGAGUAACACGUGAGUAACCUGCCCUUGACUUUGGGAUAACUUCAGGAAACUGGGGCUAAUACCGGAUAGGAGCUCCUGCUGCAUGGUGGGGGUUGGAAAGUUUCGGCGGUUGGGGAUGGACUCGCGGCUUAUCAGCUUGUUGGUGGGGUAGUGGCUUACCAAGGCUUUGACGGGUAGCCGGCCUGAGAGGGUGACCGGCGACAUUGGGACUGAGAUACGGCCCAGACUCCUACGGGAGGCAGCAGUGGGGAAUAUUGCACAAUGGGCGGAAGCCUGAUGCAGCAACGCCGCGUGCGGGAUGACGGCCUUCGGGUUGUAAACCGCUUUCGCCUGUGACGAAGCGUGAGUGACGGUAAUGGGUAAAGAAGCACCGGCUAGCUACGUG
RNAcentral lists this ribosomal RNA (468 nucleotides) under uncultured bacterium. RNAcentral's name for it is "partial 16S ribosomal RNA". It matches the Rfam family "Bacterial small subunit ribosomal RNA", at positions 28 to 507 of the family's 1533-position model. The record is from RNAcentral.